CUAAUCCAUUCCAUCUCUUUUGCAGCUUGCUAAACCUGAGGGCGAACUGAAAAGCUCCUUAAAGAGGCAAAGUUUAGGAUUGAAAAUGAGGGCAUGGAGGUGGGGUGGGCAGGAUUAGGCAGCCCGUCCUCGUACUUCAGCUCGCCUGUCUCCGGUGCUACCCCAGUAAAUAGCCACGGUGAGUUACCUCAGAUUGCCUGUCUCCAAUGCCUUGGAUGCCGCUGUGCAUUCCACGAUCACCAGCCCAACGUCACCUCUCUCCGACAGCCUGACGAGAAAGAACCAGGUGGCGGUCCUCAUGCGAAAACCGGCAGAGGCUAGACAAGUGCUGCACUGAAGCCUUGUAGAGCUGAUUGCAAAUUGAACAAGCGCACAUAGUGAGAACUUGUUAGCGGGAGACAGGAAAUUUUAUAGGCAAAAGACACUACCUUUAAUCUUUUAUGGUUGAGAGCGUGGUUGAAGGAACAAACCAUAAUACAUAAUCAUCAUUCUGGUGCCAACAGCAGGUGAGAUGCCUAGAGUGCAACAUAGAAGGGGUCUUCUAUGCGGAUUCUU
Long non-coding RNA from Phragmites australis (common reed), 555 nucleotides. RefSeq lists it as uncharacterized. Lineage: Eukaryota; Viridiplantae; Streptophyta; Magnoliopsida; Poales; Poaceae. The transcript is spliced from 3 exons. The record is from RefSeq and is a predicted model, not a curated record.